RNAcentral lists this ribosomal RNA (286 nucleotides) under uncultured Rickettsia sp. RNAcentral's name for it is "partial 16S ribosomal RNA". It matches the Rfam family "Bacterial small subunit ribosomal RNA", at positions 31 to 331 of the family's 1533-position model. The record is from RNAcentral. Lineage: Bacteria; Pseudomonadati; Pseudomonadota; Alphaproteobacteria; Rickettsiales; Rickettsiaceae.
GAACGCUAGCGGCAUGCUUAACACAUGCAAGUCGAACGGACUAAUUGGGGCUUGCUCCAAUUAGUUAGUGGCAGACGGGUGAGUAACACGUGGGAAUCUACCCAUCAGUACGGAAUAACUUUUAGAAAUAAAAGCUAAUACCGUAUAUUCUCUACGGAGGAAAGAUUUAUCGCUAAUGGAUGAGCCCGCGUCAGAUUAGGUAGUUGGUGAGGUAACGGCUCACCAAGCCGACGAUCUGUAGCUGGUCUGAGAGGAUGAUCAGCCACACUGGGACUGAGACACGGCC